Long non-coding RNA from Drosophila teissieri, 448 nucleotides. RefSeq lists it as uncharacterized. The record is from RefSeq and is a predicted model, not a curated record. Lineage: Eukaryota; Metazoa; Arthropoda; Insecta; Diptera; Drosophilidae. The transcript is spliced from 2 exons.
UUUGCUUUGCUUUUGUUUUGACACACACUUUUCCAUUUGCACGAAAAUAUUUUUUGACAAUAGUAAAAUUUCAAGUCCUGACAAACACGUUUGGUUACCGUUUAAAACAGGGGAAAAUUGGCUCACAUUUAGCGAUUUGCUGUUGAUGUGGCUUUAAACAAAAAUUCCAAUUGCAUCCGUGUGGUCUGGGCAAAAUACUUAAUGCGCAGUUAUCAGUGGCAGUCCGGCUUACAUUGUUUCGAUCGAAGUCACGACAACUUUUUGCCACCGUUUGCCAUUAGCAGACAUGCAGCUUGUUGCACUGAGAAAAACUCAGUAAGGGAAUGGAAAUUUUUCGAUCAACAUAGUCCACUUGUUGGUGCUCCCAUCGUUCUUUUUAUUUGUAUAUUGGCUUCUAUGUUAUUUCAAAUAGUAAAUUAUUAAAAUUCAUUAAUUAUUUUGAAACCAA